This 75-nucleotide transfer RNA is filed under the name Pseudomonadota bacterium. Its description in RNAcentral is "Proteobacteria bacterium (groundwater metagenome) tRNA-Val". It matches the Rfam family "tRNA". Rfam says of the family: Transfer RNA (tRNA) molecules are approximately 80 nucleotides in length. Their secondary structure includes four short double-helical elements and three loops (D, anti-codon, and T loops). Lineage: Bacteria; Pseudomonadati; Pseudomonadota. The record is from RNAcentral.
AGGCGCGUAGCUCAGUGGGAGAGCAUUUGCUUGACGUGCAAAGGGUCGGCGGUUCAAUCCCGCCCGCGCCUACCA